AUUUAAAUAGUUUAAAAAAAAUUUUGAUUUGUGGAGUCAAAGAUAUAUACAUAUAUUAUAUUUUAAAUU
RNAcentral lists this transfer RNA (69 nucleotides) under Chaoborus sp. ZK-2019. RNAcentral's name for it is "tRNA-His". The record is from RNAcentral. Lineage: Eukaryota; Metazoa; Arthropoda; Insecta; Diptera; Chaoboridae.